CGGUCUUCAGUGUGAGUGCAAAAGUAAACAAGUAGAAGUAAUCCCCAUUCACGGUCAAGGCUUUGAAAUGCAAUAUAAAACAAAAACUAAAAACCAUGGAGAGGAGUAGCUGACGGACGACUGUGACCUUCUAAGGUAAGUAUCCCUUCUUUCCUUCUCAUGAAAAAAAAGAAGAAAAUUUAUAAAGAUGAGUGGACCCAUGGACAUGACAACACACCUUGUUCUUCCAUUCAAAACAAAGAAAUGAAAUUAAAAAAAACAAUGGACCGUGAAUUCUGCAAAGCUGCACGAGAAAGAGAAAAAAAAUAUACUUCAAUCAACCAAUCCCUAUCAUUGUAGAAACCAUGUUCCAAAAAAAAAAAAAAAUUCUCCACUCCAAAACUUGUUCCAGCCGAGAGAGUAAGAGCCUAGUAAAAGUGACGGUUGGUCUCUUCUAAUGGCCAUGUGUCCUCCAAAAAAAAUGGGGUGUGGUCCACCCAAAACCCUAGGUGCCAAGUGUCAUCUACCCUAAAGUGUUUCUGAUGCUAGGGCAAAAGAUCUUUGGGCCAGGCUCUGGGCCGCAUUCCUUCUGCCUGCCACCACGUACACUCCCAUUCACACCUCCUCUGUUUGGUCGGAAGCCAUUCUGUGUCUGGCAAACAAAAGAAGGGUUUGGGCAUUGAACCCAUUUCGUUUCCAGCACCUCCACUUUCAGCCUUGCAUCCCUGACAAAUUAAAAGUUGGAAAGGAAGGACUUGGGCUCAAAUCAGAAAGGCGUUAAUUGUGCUCAGUACCUCUGGUUCUUAAUUUCUGCACCA
This 797-nucleotide long non-coding RNA is filed under the name Vigna radiata. Its description in RNAcentral is "long non-coding RNA (VRAD_LNC017822)". Lineage: Eukaryota; Viridiplantae; Streptophyta; Magnoliopsida; Fabales; Fabaceae. The record is from RNAcentral.